UGCUUCAUCACAUACCAGCCAGAGCAGAACAACUCCUUAUUUAUCCCAGUUUGAUUUAUGGUUUGUACCUAUGCCUGAUUCAUGUUCUGAACCAGGAA
RNAcentral lists this small nucleolar RNA (98 nucleotides) under Marmota monax (woodchuck). It matches the Rfam family "Small nucleolar RNA SNORA48", at positions 37 to 135 of the family's 135-position model. From Rfam's summary of the family: The snoRNA ACA 48 has been identified to guide pseudouridylation of the residue U3797 in the 28S rRNA subunit. The record is from RNAcentral. Lineage: Eukaryota; Metazoa; Chordata; Mammalia; Rodentia; Sciuridae.